CUGCCUCCAAGCUCCCCACACCCGUGCACAUCCCCCUCCUGGUCCUCCCUGCCUGCCUUCCAGGGUGAGAAUGCAUUCCUUUGACUGGGCUCCGCGAACCUAGGAUAGAGGCAAGGGACUCAAGUGCAUUCGGGGAAGUCAAGGUCGAAAACACACUGUCCUCAAGGAACUUCUGGUUGUGUGUGAGAUAACGGACAGCUGAGGGAACGAGGCACCGGGAGACUAAGGAGUUUGCCAGGUGAUCCAACCAGCUAGGAAAUGAGAUUUGGACACAAGGAGUUUGUUCCUAAGAAAAAUAUGUACCAAGAAGGUUCUCACGAGCAAACGGCAGGCUCCCCAGCCCCCGACAUUCCGGCUCCCCGGAGUUUAAGAGGGAAAAAAGAGUGGAUUGAAAUGAGGAAAUAUUCGUGUGAAGGAGGGAAAGGCAGCUGGAAGUACGACACUCAUCCGGAGGUGAA
Molecule: long non-coding RNA, 458 nt
Organism: Myotis lucifugus (little brown bat)
Lineage: Eukaryota; Metazoa; Chordata; Mammalia; Chiroptera; Vespertilionidae
Exons: 3
Source: RefSeq, a predicted model, not a curated record